Molecule: non-coding RNA, 5666 nt
Organism: Sus scrofa (pig)
Lineage: Eukaryota; Metazoa; Chordata; Mammalia; Artiodactyla; Suidae
Source: RefSeq, a predicted model, not a curated record
AUGGGAACUCCCAAGGCUAAUCUUAUAAAUCUGAAAAAAUAAUUUUGUUUUUCUAUAUUUGAGACCAUUUCUCUUUAACAUUUUUUUUUUAGUUCGUAAAGUACAAUAAUUAAAAUUCAUUUCAAUCAGGUACAAAGGAGGAGGAGGUUAAUGAGGAGGAGGUUAAUGUAACCUGUCCUCUUUAUGGUGUCCCUUAGGACAUUAUUUGAAAAAAUAGACAUGGAGAAUUUGGUGAAGACUGGAAUGAGAGGGAGGAGGAAGUGUUCUUUAUAUUCUUGGAAGAUUUUCUAGAAAUCGCAACCACCAUUUCACUUCUACCUCUACUUCUAGAACAUCCUCAGGCCACCAUGUUCAGUGGUAUUUACAUCAAAAACCAAGAAAACGUAUUUUGAUAAAGAACCCUGACAGUGGCAGGAAUCUGAUGCUCCCUAUAAUUUCAGCAGGAGAGAAUUUUUAGCUCCACCACCCCAUGACCCAGCAAGCGGUUAGGGUGUGCACUCCCCUCUCUAAAAGACACUGAUAACCGGAAUAAUACUCCCUCCAUAUCAGUGAAAAGGAGAGAGGAGCUAAGAAAAAACUGAAAAACAAAUCAUCUUCUUUUAUCAGAACUAUGUAAGAAUGAGGGAGAAAUAAAUCCAUCUAUCAGACUUUCAAAUGAUGUCUUUGUUAGCAAAGCAAUUCUGUUUUGCUUUGGAUGAAUAGACAGAAAAAAACUGGGCAAAAUAAUAAAGUUGUAGAGACAGUGUUUUGGCUCUAACAGUGAAAAUGUUACCAGUAUCUUCCUUGUUGUUCUGCUGCAUUUGUUGAUAUUUAAGCCCUUCGGAAAUUUUAGUGCUGUUUGUGAAACCCAGAACCCCAGAAUGUUUUCUCGGUGUCCAUAUUUCUUUCUAGGAUUUUGUUCAUUGGUGAACUUUAUGCAUUUUUAAAAGUUUGUAAUUGGCUUUGCCUUUUCUGCUUGUUUUUUGCCAGAUUGUUUUUAUCUGUGAUUUUGACAAUCAACCCAUGUCAGAGUUGAAUAGAAUCCUUCAUCACCAUCACCAUCCUCCUCCCCUUCCUCCUCCUCCUCCUCAUCCCCAUACCCUGAUACUCACGAAAGGAACUUGGAAAGGAUGUACUUCAGAAAGAAGGAAUAUUAUCCCAGAAAAAGUGUGAGAUGCAACAUUAAAUGUGUAAGAAAAUUCACAUGUUAAAAAAGGUUUUGUGGAAGGGGAGACAGUUCCUGUGAUUCAAGAACUUACUGUAUCUAAUGGAAGUGAUACAUCUACCUGAACAGAUAUUCUGGAUGGAGAAAAUUUCUUUGAUUUUGGUUGAAUUGCUAAGAAGUCAUCCAAAAACUUCUUCAAUUCAGGAAAAAAGGUUCUCUAUUCAAGAGAUGUUCUUCUACAUAGAGAAAUAAAUAAAAGGAUGUCUCAAGGUUAAAGCAUUCAUCCUCUUCAGCUGGAGUAUUGAUGAAGUAUUUCCAAAGGAAGUAGCUGUUCUUUUUAGACUUCGAAAGAUGCUUUGGAAAUGACUAGUGGGAGAAGAGAAGAAACAAAUGUGAUGGAGUCGUGUAUAUUGUGCAAGAUUAGAACUGUACUAAAGAUGAACAUGCUUAAUCUGCUGGGAGUAGGGAAAGGGAUGCUAAUAGCAUGCAGUUGAGGACCUUUGACUUCAGGUAUCACAAAUACAAUGGGCCCUUGAACACAGCCAAGACUAGGGGUGCCAAGCAAGUGGAACAUCUGUGUGUACAGCUUCACAGUCAGUCCUCCUUAUCCAAAGUUUCACGUAUGCAGAUUCAACCAACCAUGGACCAUAGUACUGUAGUAUCCAUUCCAGUGGCUGUGUAUUGGUAUCGCAUUGUGGUGACUUCUUUGAUGACUAACAGAGGAAAACCUACCACUUUUUCAUAAUUUAUAUUGUCCAUUUGAAUAUCGUUUUGUGUAUAAUCAAAACUUUUGCACAUUUUUCUGUUAUCUUUUCUUUAUUAUUGAUUCAUAAUGCUCCUUAUAUAUUUUAGAAAUUAUUUUUUAGAUUGAUAUCUAAUCCUAUUGUGAAGUUUGCCUUUUUAUUCUCCUAAUGAUGUUGUUUGAUGGACAUACAUUUUAGUUUUAAUAUAGUCCAAUUUGUCAAUAUUUUAAUAGUGACUUUGUGUCCCAUCUUUGUCUACUUCAAGGUCAGAAAGGUGUCCAGCUUACUUUUACACUAAAUACUUUAGAUAUUUUCUUUUUACUUAUAUAUUUAAAAUCCAUCUUGAAUUGAGUUUUGUGUAUGGUGGGAUAUUUUGUGUCCUGUGUGACGCAGGACUCAGCAAACUCUGUGUGAAAAUCCAGCUGUCCUUUUGAAAAGUAAAAGCAUUAGUGGACUAAGCUGCUGUCUACUUUGCCUGAACUUUGUUCCAAGGGUGUAAUUAGCAUUAGUUAUCUGCCUUCUCUCUCAUCCAUUCUGUGUCUCCCUCCUUUACCAGCACUUCAUUUGUAUAGGUUACCUUCAUCAUUUAGAGUUCUGGGUCUGCUUAUCUUGCUUUGGUCAGGUCACAGGUAACACAAUGGUCCCUUCCUUUCCUACUAUCAAUGGACAUCAGAACAUCAAGAGGAGCCCAGCAUGCCUUAGAGUUCCAGUUAAGGUCCUCCCUACUACUGCUUUUUUUUUUUUUUUGGCAGACUUUCAGCUCUUAUUUGAAAAUUGGAGCUAAUUACUCCCACUAGUUCAGUAGCUCCUUUCUUUGCUUGACAAGCUAACAUGACCAAGUGGUAGUCAUAGCUUUAAGUUAGCAGAGCACUUACUUAUUCAUAAUGGGAUCAUCAGCCACUUUUUCCACCUCCCACCUACUUCCGGUGUUUCAGAACAUCUAUUCUCACAAAGGCUAAAGCUGCAAGAAUAGAAAGCACAAAUUUUCCAACUGAAUUCCUGAGAGUGAUGGUGAAAAAGAAACCUGCAUAUUUUAGAUAUUGGCUAUACAGUACCAUAAAGAGACCAUUGUCAUAACACACAUACCACAUUCUGGAGGGCAGCUCUGUUAACUUGUAGGAUAUUGUCCUUAUACCAUAGCUAAACCUCUAAGAGUCUAUUACAAUGUUCUAUUGGGCUGCUAUGUAAUAGUUAUGAGGUGGGCAGAAUCAGUGGGUCCUCUGAUCAGUACCCAUGAUUGCCCUUCUUUAGCUAUAAAAUGGGAUCCUAAGUAUGAUACAUUCAUAUUAUUUGGGCAUCACAUGGUGAUCCAUCAGACACAUCAGGCCCUCUGGAAAACCCUGGGACAGUGGUACUAGCAGAAAUAAACCCAUAUCUAGGAUCUCUCUCUCUUCAUCCUUUUGGCUCCAUUACUAGUUUCCAUCUCAAGAUAUGGUGUAUCCAAGAAGAGAGGUGGAUGACUUUCACUGAAGGAGACACUUUGUACUUGGUUGCUCAUUGUCUCUUCACCAGUAGGUGGUAACUGGUAGGCACUGAUGUGAGGCAGAAAAAUCUGCACAUUUUUACCCACUCUUAUGUCUUCAUUAACACACAUUUUCCCCAGUUAUUCAUGUCUCUGAUCUUCCAACCUUGUUCUUUUGACCCCUUACCAAUGAAGACCAUCAGUAGGGGGUAAAUUUUUAUGUAAAGAACCAGAUAGUAGAUAGGCUUUGCAGGCUGUAAUGGUUUCUCCUGCAACUACUUAAAUUCUACUACUGUUGCCCAAGAACAGUUAGAGGCAAAUGAGUGUGGCCAUGUUCCAAUAAAACUUUAUGUAUAAAAAUAGAUAUCAGACUGGAUUUGCCUCAUAGGCUAUAGUUUGCAAAUCCCAGAACUCCACCAUUUGGUACUGCCCAAGAAUCCACAUAUGUUCCUACCUCAGGGUCCCUUUCUCUUCAUGUAAAAAAGAGAACCUAGUACACUGCUCAAAACUCUUGUGUACUUGGAGGAUUGCCUCUUGCUAGGGAUAAUCUUUGAGUGGGAAUAUAGCAUGCAUUACAUUUUCGGCUUACACCUACACAUAUGUCUGCCCCAUCUGUGAAUUAUACCCAAAAUUGCAGUGCCACAUCUGUUGGCUGUAGAAAAAUACCCUGAAAGACCAUAUAGAUGAAGCUGAUGGAAAAAGUAUCAAAUGCAAGAUAUUGGUGACUAUGGGGUCUAAGCCACAGAUUUGUAUAAUUUAUUUGAGCCAUUUGGACCAUGUUGGGCCUUAUUAAAAAUAUACCAUUACAAUGAUGUUAGUUGCUACUUUGCUCACCUGGCAUUAUACUUGGGUAGACCUAACAAUAUGAUCUAUUAAGAGGAAGCUCUGGUCAUAUACUCUCUUGAUUCCCAUGGUCUGUUAGUUAGUCUUUAUUUGAUUCUAGUUACACUAUUGGAUUUGAUUUUCACAUGACAAGUAAUUUUCUGCUCUUGCUCCAAAAACCUAGAGUCUUAGCUUUGACUCUUUUGUUGAGACUUCUCGGACAUGUCACCAGUUGUUUUUAUCUACCAUGGAUAUUUUCAGUAGUGUUGAACCUGAAGGUAAUCUUGCCCAUGAAUCAGGGCUACUUGUACCAUAUCCUGGAUUUGCAACAGCAUCCUUUCUUGCUCUGGAUCCCAUUCAAACUUGGCAUUCCUCAGAGUCACCUAAUAAAUAGGACUGGGCAAUGUGUCAAAAUAGUUUGUAUUAUCUCAUGAAUUCAAGGAUGCCAAUUAGAAACUGUUCCUCCUUGCUAGUGGCAGAUAGUACAGUAUGUAAGGUGUAACAUAUUUAAUCUUAGAAAGAAAUUCCUAGAUAUUCCUGACCACUAGACUUCUAAAAGUGGCUCUGGAUUCCUUAUAGGAUUUAUAUCUCACUCCCUGCACCUGAUAUAUCACCAGUAUAUCAGAGUGUUUGCCACUUCUUCAUCACCAGGUGUAACUAGCACAACAUCAUGAAUAUAGAAGAAGAACAUGAUAUUUUAUGAAUUUCAAGACGAAGAUCCCUUCAGACGAUAUUAUAAUAGAAAGCACAGGUUUUCUUUUCUUUUUUUUUUUUUCUUUUUCAUUUUCUUUUUUUGGCUACACCUGUGGCAUAUGGCAGGCAAUUCCUGGGCUAAGGGUCACAUUGGAGCCACAGUAACACCAGAUCCAAGCCACAUCUGUAAAACCAUAUCCUUAAUCCACUGAGAGAGGCCAGGGAUUGAACCCACAUCCUCAUGAACACUAUAUUGGGCUCUUAACCCACUGAGCCGUAACGGGAGCUCCUUUUAUUUUAAUAAUAGAAAUUGAAAAGAACACAAAUGUGAGAUUAACUGUCAUAUGUUGAGUAUAAAAGACUGUUGAUCUAUUAAAGUAAAGAUUAUACAUCAGUAGUGCCAGUAGGGGCUACCUUCAGUCCAAGUUUUCUUUUAACAUUUUUCCCACCCAGUUGUUAUUAUAUAAUGAUGUCAUGUGUUUUUAUAAAAUUAUUUUUUAAUGUAACCACAUUAGUAAACUUUUUUUUUUUUUUAUAAACCUACUGGAGACUUGGAGAACAGAUUUACGGUUGCCAGGGUGAGGGGGAUGGAGUGGGAUGGGCUGGGAAUCUGGGGUUAGUAGAUGCAAACUAUUACAUUUGGAUAAGCAAUGAGAUCCUGCAGUAUAGCACUGGGAACUAUAUCUAGUCACUUAUGAUAGAGCAUGAUGGAGGAUAAUGUGAGAAAAAGAAUGUAUAUAUGUAUGUGUGACUGGGUCACUUUGCUGUACAGCAGAAAAUUAACAGAAUACUACAAACCAGC